Molecule: ribosomal RNA, 253 nt
Filed under: uncultured bacterium
Lineage: Bacteria
Description: partial 16S ribosomal RNA
Rfam family: Bacterial small subunit ribosomal RNA
Source: RNAcentral
UACGGGGGUGGCAAGCGUUGUUCGGAAUUACUGGGCGUAAAGGGCGCGUAGGCGGCUUUACAAGUCAGAUGUGAAAGCCCCGGGCUUAACUCGGGAAUUGCAUCUGAAACUGUUUAGCUUGAGUCCUGGAGGGGGUAGUGGAAUUCCCAGUGUAGCGGUGAAAUGCGUAGAUAUUGGGAGGAACACCUGUGGCGAAGGCGGCUACCUGGACAGUGACUGACGCUGAUGCGCGAAAGCUAGGGGAGCAAACGGG